UACGUAGGGGGCGAGCGUUGUCCGGAUUUAUUGGGCGUAAAGAGCUCGUAGGCGGUUCGAUAAGUCGGACGUAAAAUCUCCACGCUCAACGUGGAGGGGCCGUUCGAUACUGUCGUGACUCGAGUCCGGUAGGGGAGUGUGGAAUUCCCGGUGUAGCGGUGAAAUGCGCAGAGAUCGGGAGGAACACCCGUAGCGAAGGCGGCACUCUGGGCCGGUACUGACGCUGAGGAGCGAAAGCGUGGGGAGCAAACAGG
RNAcentral lists this ribosomal RNA (254 nucleotides) under uncultured bacterium. RNAcentral describes it as "partial 16S ribosomal RNA". It matches the Rfam family "Bacterial small subunit ribosomal RNA", at positions 524 to 776 of the family's 1533-position model. The record is from RNAcentral.